Panicum virgatum (switchgrass) is the source of this 1483-nucleotide long non-coding RNA. RefSeq lists it as uncharacterized. The record is from RefSeq and is a predicted model, not a curated record. NCBI's taxonomy places the organism in Eukaryota, Viridiplantae, Streptophyta, Magnoliopsida, Poales, Poaceae. The transcript is spliced from 5 exons.
AUAUAUAUAUAUAUAUAUAUAUAUAUAUAUAUAUAGCACCGAGGGGCAGGCCAUGCUAGAUUGCUCGGCCUGCAGUGAAUAUACUCCGGAGAUUGGGCUGGGCCUAAACACUAUCUAAAGAAAAGAAGUUGAGAAAGAUGGUCGCCUGCUGAUGAUGGGAGAUGCGCACUGCUUCGUAUCAAAAUGAAGUACUUCUUGAAGCUGUUGGUUUCACGAGCUUCCGAUACAGGCCGGGGGUAUUUCCCAGUACUUUGUUCCUUUCAAGCGCAAAUAGGGAAAUGGUCACGAGCUCUGCAGCUAAACAAAGUUCAGAACCUUUUUUUUUGUGAAAGGAAAGUUCAGAACCUUUCUAUCAGCAACUCCACAAAGAAAAGGGCUGGCAUGCUCUUCCAAGUUCCAAGCCUAGCAAAAAUCACAAAAAGGUAUAGAACCUGUACUGCUAGAGAAUCCAUGAUGAGCUGAGCUCAGUGCUGCUGCCUAAUGGACGGAUAGUACAGCAGACAUGUUGCAGACGCGAUGGAGAAAGAGACAUUCAUGCGAGUGCUGUGGAUCCUGGAAAGGGUGCCAAAAGGAGGCGGGCGUGAUCCACAAAUCCCAAUAAAAGCAUAGCAGUUGGAGUGAGGUCAUGCAAAAGUGACCGAUCCUUGUCCUCUUCGAUCAAGAGCACCUGUCGACCUCAAUGAUGCCAUGUCAUCUGUUCGUUUACAGUGGCCGCAGCAUCUUGAUACAAGUUUAGGGACCAUGGAUAGGUUGUGAUGAUUCCCCCUCCUCCGUUGCAAAAGAUCGCAGAAGACGUUGGUGAUUUUGGGGACAUUUCGACCGGAUUCAGGACACCAGGGCAGCCCUGGCGAAGGGAAUCUCUCCCCGUCUCUAAAGCAAAUCAGUGCUGUGCUGAUCGAUGGAUGGUACUCGGGGCGGUGACGUGAUACCCGGCCUAUCCAAAGCUCUCUGACAUCAGUGAUGUAAUUGUGCUCCAAUGUCCGGAUGCAAUUAUCCAUCACAGCAAGUAUAUAUAUUAUGUGAGGUGCCCAUGGCUCGACCCGACGAUGGUGUUGGGUUGAAUCUGGUUCAUGGCUCUGCCGGGUGGCCAAGACGCAGCUGAUGCAUCCAUGGUUCCAGAUUGUUAGGAGUUCCGGAGCAGCCGCAUGACCUUGAGACGUGCAGGACGCUAGGACAUCAUCAUCAUCUUUAAGUGUAUGUUGAACAACGGCAAUUACUACUACUUGACAAUGGGUUUCCCCACAAUGGCCUUCUGGGCGAGACAUGCGGCGAUGUGCCCUCAGUGGUGGUGGAUACAAUUUGCACUGAGUGGAGUUCCGAAAAACUUGGACAAUUCUUUCGAGUUCUGAGUGGACUUUUCUUUGUUUGUACUACUUGACUGAAACUUUUGUGAAAUGUUAGUCUUGAAACCUAGUCUUGAAAUUUUGAGCUCAGUCUUGAAACUUCAGCUCUGGAAACACUGUAUCUGUAUUUGAAACCUCAC